GAUGAACGCUGGCGGCGUGCCUAACACAUGCAAGUCGAACGGAGUUUAACGCUGAUGAAGCUUCGGCAGAUUCUUGUUAAACUUAGUGGCGGACGGGUGAGUAACGCGUGGGUAACCUGCCUCAUACAGGGGGAUAGCAGUUGGAAACGACUGAUAACACCGCAUAAGCGCACAGGAUCGCAUGAUCUAGUGUGAAAAUAUUUAUAGGUAUGAGAUGGACCCGCGUCUGAUUAGCUAGUUGGUGAGGUAACGGCCCACCAAGGCGACGAUCAGUAGCCGGCCUGAGAGGGCGGACGGCCACAUUGGGACUGAGACACGGCCCAAACUCCUACGGGAGGCAGCAGUGGGGGAUAUUGCACAAUGGGCGAAAGCCUGAUGCAGCGACGCCGCGUGAGUGAAGAAGUAUUUCGGUAUGUAAAGCUCUAUCAGCAGGGAAGAAAGACCUUCGUAAGAGGGAUGACGGUAC
RNAcentral lists this ribosomal RNA (466 nucleotides) under bacterium NC2010. RNAcentral describes it as "bacterial SSU rRNA". It matches the Rfam family "Bacterial small subunit ribosomal RNA", at positions 28 to 478 of the family's 1533-position model. The record is from RNAcentral.